Molecule: non-coding RNA, 408 nt
Organism: Paramuricea clavata
Lineage: Eukaryota; Metazoa; Cnidaria; Anthozoa; Malacalcyonacea; Plexauridae
Source: the annotation of a GenBank genome assembly
UAUUCAGUCUAAAGCAAGAUCGUCUGGUGGACAGCCAUAAAUAGACAAUUGCUGUACGAAGCAACCUCAUGCAGCUGAGCAUCGCUUGGAUUGGCUUCAAUAAGGAAUAACUGAACUCUCGGAAGCCAAGGUGAGCCUUCCUGUUUCCAUUGUCGCAGACAUUCAUGUUGUUAUCCCUUCCCGGCCGUUAUUCGAGCUUCCACAGGAAUUUAUACUGUUAUUAGCGACUGAAAGCGUAGCCUACUACACUAUAUUUUGCCUUUAGACUAUAUUUAGAUCAUAUAUAUCGACUAUAAUGUCUGUAAUGAUAUUGUAUUAUUGUAAUGAUUGAGUGUGCAUGAAUGAACUUGGGCAAAAGAAUCAGAUCGAGACACCGCGUGUCGCGUGACGUGAGGUUUUGGCAUGGAA